GCGGCGGACGGGUGAGUAACACGUGGGCAACCUGCCCUGCAGACUGGGAUAACUUCGGGAAACCGGAGCUAAUACCGGAUAACACCGAAAACCGCAUGGUUUUCGGUUGAAAGGCGGCUUUUAGCUGUCACUGCAGGAUGGGCCCGCGGCGCAUUAGCUAGUUGGUGAGGUAACGGCUCACCAAGGCGACGAUGCGUAGCCGACCUGAGAGGGUGACCGGCCACACUGGGACUGAGACACGGCCCAGACUCCUACGGGAGGCAGCAGUAGGGAAUCUUCCGCAAUGGACGAAAGUCUGACGGAGCAACGCCGCGUGAGCGAAGAAGGUCUUCGGAUCGUAAAGCUCUGUUGUCAGGGAAGAACAAGUGCCGUUCGAACAGGGCGGUACCUUGACGGUACCUGACGAGAGAAGCCACGGCUAACUACGUGCCAGCAGCCGCGGUAAUAC
Molecule: ribosomal RNA, 448 nt
Filed under: Aeribacillus sp. E07C001Y
Lineage: Bacteria; Bacillati; Bacillota; Bacilli; Caryophanales; Bacillaceae
Also listed under: 48 other names
Description: bacterial SSU rRNA
Rfam family: Bacterial small subunit ribosomal RNA
Source: RNAcentral